Molecule: long non-coding RNA, 8132 nt
Organism: Myxocyprinus asiaticus (Chinese sucker)
Lineage: Eukaryota; Metazoa; Chordata; Actinopteri; Cypriniformes; Catostomidae
Exons: 4
Source: RefSeq, a predicted model, not a curated record
CCUUUCUUCAAACUCAAGGUCGCUUUACAGGAUGAGAGUAAACACAAAGUAUCACAAAAAAUAAAUAAAUAAAUAAAUAUAUUUAAACCAAUUUAAUUGAGAAGCAUAGGUCAAAGAGAUAUGUUUUGAAAUCAUGUUUGGAGGUGAGAUCAUGGAGGGACUGAGGAAUAGAGUUCCAAAGCGAAGGGGCAAGUGUGCAAAAAGCCCUGCCACCUAGUGAGGUCAGCUUGCAACGUGGCAUGAAUAGUAGGCCCAAAUCACAUGACCGGAGUGAGCGGGAUGGGGUGUAGCAGCGGACGAGAUCAGUGAUGGGGCAAGACCUUUUAAAGCUUUGAUCAUUUUACCCUCUUUAACUUCUUCCACCAACAACAGGUGUGAAAAUGAUCCAUGACCUGAAGAAUAAUAAUGCAGGGACUUCAUUUGAUCUCCAAACUGUAGAUGCAGGAACUGAAUUUAGACUUUAUUCUGAAAACAGAACUGCUUUUGAAACAUCUUCGUGCAACAACCUAUUUCUCAGGAAAUUAGCAAAUUACACUUUGUGCCACUACAUUAACAGACAAUACACACACAGAUAGCACAAACACUGCCACUCAUGCCAUUCGCUUGUUGCACUGGCACGAAUAUUUCGCUUUGAAUUAGCACACGGUCGUUGCGUGUAGCACUGCGCAUUGCACACUCUGAAAAUAAAGCCCUGGAUAGUGUCAAUUUAACAUCUUUAUAAAACCAAAGAGUCAUAAUCAUGUAUCGCUCUUUUAGAGUCAUGUUACAUUUUAUUUGGUCUUUGCUCUUUCAUUUUCUUAUAGUUCCACAGGUUAAAACCCUUUACAAUUAGCACAAUAAACACAUUCGGUAACACUUUCUAUGAAGCCCAUAUUUAUAAUGCAUUGUAAAGGCAUUAUCCUGUAUUCAUAAUGUCUCAAUGCAUCUUAUAAUAAGUUAGAACUUCUCAUAAAUGAUAACUACAGUUAUAAUACAUUAUAAGACUUCCCUUAUUCAUAGUUAUACUUUAGAGUAUAAUGCAUUAUAACACAAGUAACAUCCAGUUUUAACGCAGCAGAAGUUCAUAAAGUUAAUGGCAUAAGUGCUGUAUAAUGUAAACAGUUAAAAGGUUUUAUGAUGUGAUCAUAUUAUAAGUGUUCUUUACCUGCUUUAAGUUACAAAAGUAAUAUCUUCUUAUAAACAGACAUAAAAUUGUAACAUGUAUUACAAACUUUUUAACAAUGUAUUACAAGUCAAACUUACUCAGUUCAGUAUAGAAUCAGUUUGAUGUUUUUUGAUUUUUAUUGGGUUUGUUUACACCCAAGAAGAUCGGCUACAUGUGUGAUCUGAUAUAUUUUAACCUUGUUUUUUCGUAAAUACCUCAAUUUACACUGAAUAUCUAUAUAACUUCCAGCAUGACUUGUAAUGUAUUAUAACCACAUAAAAAUAUCUUAUAGAUGUUUAUAAGACGACAUUGCUUUAAUCACUUAAAGCAUAUCUAUUAUACACAUUACAAUUAUAUAUAAUGCAUUAUAACUUCUGCAGAUUAAAUUGAUGUUGUUGGUGUUAUAAUGCAUUAUAGUCUAAGGUAUAACUAUAAAUAGGUAAGCAUUAUAAUGCAUUAUAACUUGCAGAUUAAAUUGAUGUUGUUGGUGUUAUAAUGCAUUAUAGUCUAAGGUAUAACUAUAAAUAGGUAAGCAUUAUAAUGCAUUAUAACUUCUGCAGAUUAAAUUGAUGUUGUUGGUGUUAUAAUGCAUUAUAGUCUAAGGUAUAACUAUAAAUAGGUAAGCAUUAUAAUGCAUUAUAACUUGCAGAUUAAAUUGAUGUUGUUGGUGUUAUAAUGCAUUAUAGUCUAAGGUAUAACUAUAAAUAGGUAAGCAUUAUAAUGCAUUAUAACUUCUGCAGAUUAAAUUGAUGUUGCUGGUAUUAUAAUGCAUUAUAGUCUAAGGUAUAACUAUAAAUAGGUAAGCAUUAUAAUGCAUUAUAACUUCUGCAGAUUAAAUUGAUGUUGCUGGUAUUAUAAUGCAUUAUAGUCUAAGGUAUAACUAUAAAUAGGUAAGCAUUAUAAUGCAUUAUAACUUCUGCAGAUUAAAUUGAUGUUGCUGGUGUUAUAAUGCAUUAUAGUCUAAGGUAUAACUAUAAAUAGGUAAGCAUUAUAAUGUAUUAUAAUUGUGGUUACAAUUAUUUAUGAGAAGUUAUAACAUAUUAUAAGGUGUAAUAUGAGACAUUACUAAUGCAUUAUAAAUAUGGGCUUCAUAGAAAGUGUUACCACAGAUUUACACAUUCUUUAACAGAAAGACGUGCACGAUUUCAAACACACACACACAAACACACACACACUUUAAAACGCAAAGUAAUUGAGUGAUUAGGCCCAGCCCACUGAUAAAACAAACACAAACAAAAACAACAUAACAAUGACAGAAAACAAUGUGACAGUUGUUAUAAGGGCUUCACAAAAUAUAGAUAUAUCGUUACACAGUGUCAUAAACAGGCGCGACACAACAGGUUUCCAUGAAAGUUAAUAGUCUGUUCACACUGGAAGCGACACUGUUGCACAACAGUUACAGACAGUCGAAACAUGGUUUUGUACGUUGGACCAAUGAGAUUUAUAAGUGUGGGCGGGGCUACCCAGCGCAACACCGCAGAAACCAAACCGAAAAAACAAAAGUCUUUGACUUGUCUCAUUAGGGCAAAAACAGAUUCAAAUGGAAGACAUACAGUAUGUUUACUUUCGUCUUUCUAUCGUGCCUGGUUAGGACACCAUGUAACAAGCCUAAAAUAUAUAGUAUUGUAAAAAAGUCAAGCAAGUUGUCCUCAAAACUCAAAGUGUAGCAGGUAAGAGGGACUGUCAAAUCGUUCGGAGAAAACAGUGUGAAAUAUGAAAGUCCAUCUGUGCGCCUGAGAGAGAUUUCCGGAGUGUUGUGGUCGAGUUUCUUUAAGGACAUCUCAAAAGAUAAAGAUAUGAACACAAAGGAGACAGUAAAAGCAAGUAUUUCUAUUCAAUCAAGGCACAUGGUCCAUUUAAAUUUAUUAUGUUACAACAAUUUUUUUUUUUUUUUUUUUUUUUUAUAUUGUAAAGACACAGAUUUGUCCCUUUGCAGCACCCAUAAUUCCUUACAACAAACUCCAGUGAAGUACAAAACAUAAAGAAUCUUUCUUAUAAUAAUAAUAAUAAAGCAUCCGAAUGUGGAGUGUGUCUGUGACCUUUUUUCAGAUGUCUUGAAUCCAGUGUGUAAAAGGUGUCAAUAAAUAUCGAUAGCUUUAAAAAAAUGUCAAAGACCCUUUAAACGGUCACAGGAAGAUAAAUACGUACAGUACGAUGGUGCGGAGAGCAACAAGACUGUUUUGCAUUUAUGACAACCCUGCUGGAAACCCCCCCCCCCCCAGCCGAACGAGAGUUGAAUGCGUACAGCCAGAUUUUUCUAGCAUGCACCUGGUAUUAUCUGCACUAUUUAGUGAGUCCACAAGGUGGCAACACUCACAAUAGAGCCAUUGCUGUCACAAAGAAGCGCUUUAAGAUGAUGCAAUGGCUGAUAACAGUAGAUAUGCACGUCAAGAGCACAUGUGUGAGGAGGUCAGGAGAUAACUGCAUUUGUAUAACUCGAAUCUUAAGGAAUAAAAAUACAUCUUUAAGGGUCUAAACUCCUGAAGAGAAAUAGUAUCUCAUAGCAGUCACAGCGCGUAUGCACCAACCGCCCGUGAAUGCGCGCACUGUCAAAUGAAGUAUAAUUUGAAAAGCUAGCGCUCAACUAAACGCUGACGCUAAGCGCUUGUGUAAAAAACGAAGACUGCUUUGGGCUUUAGCUGGUAGAUUUCAAGUAAAAAUGUGGAAAAUUUCAUUUCAAUUUAAUCGCGUCUUCACCACGCUCUCUAGAUAUCGGGAUCGGCCAUUAAAAACACGCAUUGGUUGACCACUAGUCAACUCAAGUGGCCUGACCCGUGAAUCAUCCACCAAUCAGCGAUUCUGUUUGUUCUUUAGGCCGAACCAACUUUUUGCAAGUACAUGAAUGCAUCUUGUGUUCGAAGUACGCGUUGCAUUCUCAACAUUGCCACAAGGGGCACUAUAGUGAGCGUAGUGUGAACUGUCCACCUCUUUGGUGAGUUUUCUCAACUACUGUCAAGGUGGAGCAACAGUUUUGAAUGAUGCUGAGCAAGUUAAAGUUCACAAAGUUCAAAAGCACAUCCAGUUUAAAUCUGAAGUAUGUAACUUGUUCUGCGUUUAAGUACUUUCUCCACAAGUAAGCUAUUAAUAGGUACAUUUUCUCGAAAACUGUAAGCACUGGCUCUGUUUGUUUUGAGCGACCCACUUAGACCCGCCCCAACAACGAUACUCAACCAAUGACGCGAGCUGGCGGCGGGACUCUCUCACUGUUUCCCCCCACAGUAACACAAGAACGCACGUUUAGUAUGUUUAACCGGACUGCGCCUCAGAUAGCACACGUAUGUCUCAGAGAUGUCUGUUUUAGAUCUUUUCAUCUGGAAAGCAUUCUUAUUAACAUCUGCUAAACAUCUUAAAAUGAUCCGGUUUCCAAACAUUCUACAUCAUAAACGUCUCAAAGACAUCUGCUGAAUGUCUUAUUGACAUACAGCAAACAACCUAAAACAUAUGUCUUCCAGAUGUAAACACACACAUCAAAUAGACGUCUGGGUGAUGAAUGUGUGCCAACAGGAACAUUGGCAAUGCGGUGGCCACGCGAUUGCAUCUGCGUUUGUGUACUUGGGUAGAGUGUAGCCUUAAACAUUGUCAUGUCAAGUGUUCCCAAGCAGAUGGUGAUCUUACACACCAUGCUGACAUGAACACACGCUGUUUACACUUCAGAAAUGGUGGCAAAACACGCAAGCUAAAGUCGGUUCUGUGUGCUAUUUCUAGAUAUUUUCAGAUUGUCAAGUCGUUUUAAAGCCAGUUAUCUCUCCUUGUGAGCGGAUUAUGAUGAAUGUCCAGUGAUAAAUAUCUGAUGAGCUUUAGCCGCAAAACAUGCCAAUAAGAGACGUGCACUGACUAAGCAGUGUUUGUUGAGUCAAGCAUCACUAACUAUCUGAACAAAACUUUUGUGUUUAUUUAGCUUCGGAAAAUAUGGAAUCAGGUUUAAAUUCAUUCUUGAGAGUCACACAAAAAGUACUGUUAAAUGACGCAGUAGCAUGAACAAUAAUAUUCAAAGGAAAAUCUUGGCUUUCUUGUCAUAGAUCAAGUCUGUGCUCGACAUACUUUCACAGGAGUUGGCACAGCAGAAAUCUCAGGGUAUGUUGACGGAGCGAAAUGCCAAAGAAGGCCAUUGUUAUGUGAAAAUGUCUCCCAACCCGGCUCCCCCCCACCCCAAAGGAAUUUCAUUGUUGGGAAUAAAAUGUGAGAGAUGAGAAUCUGCAUGCAGCACACACAGUCCACCAGGGGGAAGUCAGUACUUCCUCUCUACAGGACGUCUUCAUGGGGGAACUUGAGAGCUCUCUUAGAUCAGAAAUAAUCAUGCCUUCAGGCUGAUCUUGGAUUCUCUAAGAUAUUUUUGUACAUACAUAAUAACAUUCCUAAAGCGCUGGAAGCUUCAGGAACUAAACACAAACACCCACUAUCACCAUCACAAGCCAUUUCGACAUUUAAUAAAGUGCAUGAGGUGAAUUAAAGAUAUCUACAAUUAGGGGGUCUGGGUAGCUCAGCGAGUAUUGACGCUGACUAUCACCCCUGGAGUCGCGAGUUCGAAUCCAGGGCAUACUGAGUGACUCCAGUCAGGUCUCCUAAGCAACCAAAAUUGGCCCGGUUGCUAGGGAGGGUAGAGUCACAUGGGGUAACCUCCUCGUGGUCGCUAUAAUGUGGUUCUCGCUCUCGGUGGGGUGUGUGGUGAGUUGUGCGUGGAUGCCGUGGAGAAUAGCGUGAAGCCUCCACAGACACUACGUCUCCGUGGUAACGCGCUCAACAAGUCACGUGAUAAGAUGUGCGGAUUGGCGGUCUCAGACGAAGAGGCAACUGAGAUUCGUCCUCCGCCACCCGGAUUGAGGCGAGUCACUACGCCACCACGAGGACUUAGAGCGCAUUGGGAAUUGGGCAUUCCAAAUUGGGGAGGAAAGGGGAGAAAAUCUAAUUAAAAUGCUAAUUCUUGAUGUCAGUAAUGGAAUUACUACUAGCGAAAUAAUUAGAUUUGCUCUAUAUCUAUAGCAUAUUGAAAAUUCUAAUAUUUAAUAUCUGCAAUGUAUUUCAACAUUUUUAUGAUUCGGUAUUGGAGAUAUCUAGAAAUGGAGUUCCUAUAUCAAUAAAUUGAAGAGUGAUUAAAGAUCUCUUAAAAGGCUUUGUUACUAGUUAAACACAUGAAACAUAUCUGAAAUGAACAUUGCCACUAAUGAAAACCAAAUGGGCAUUUUUACUAGUUGCAAUUCCAUUUUUGAUAAAGAAUUAUAAUUUUUUCUUAGUGCAAACCUCAUUACUGAUUUUCACCAGUGAAAAUUGUAUAGAAUUAUACCUAUAUAUCCUGCACGAUUAUAUGUUGAAACGUCUUGAGAUACAAGUGCAUUCAACUCGAAGGUUGUUCAAAAGAGGCUUGACAUGAACUUCUACAUCAGGAUAUUUUGUCAGACUCAGGAAACCUCAUGAUUUUGAAAAUUAUUGUGGCUCAUUGGAUGAAAUCUCCUGGCUAGAACGAUUGCAUUGUUUGGCACGUGUGUGGAUUGUGUGCUGAAUUCUCCCAGGUGCACAAAAACGCAAUAAAUUCCCUUCAGGUUGCUGUUGCUAAAGACCCUCCCAAAGAAACUGUUAAAAACAAAUCUCAAAGCUAGCCAAAUCUGAAUUGAAACAAGGUAAAAUGACUUUGUCAUAAUCUGAAAAAACUGCAGCGUCUUAAAUUAAAAGUGAAAUGUGCGAUUUCUGCUUCAAGCGGAUUUACAAAAAUAAUGAUUGUUUUCAAGCAGGUUUCCCAAACACUCUCCCCAUUUCCCAUUGGUUGAAAAAGCAGAUAGUCCCGCCCCUAACUCAUGCCAUUGGUUGAGUCAGAAGUUGACAUGUCAUGUUGCUCAAACAAACAGAGGAAUGUUUUGAAAGCGCCACAGAUUUUCAGGGGAAUCAACCAAUAAACGAAUACGUGGAAAAAUCAUUUUAACAUCCGAAUCUCACACAACACUUUUAAGAACAAUACAUCUGAAACUGAUAAUGAACAGACACUGAUUGAAGCGCACAAAGAGGGCAUUAGACCCUGAGUAAGUGAUGUCAGAGAAUCCAAAGAAUCCAAAGAAUGGGUUCUUUGAUGUUCAAAGAAUCCAAAAGAAAACAUUGAUUUCACAUCUUGUGAUGUUUAAAACCGUAAUUAGUUCAUCAGGAAUGACGAGAUGGACAAAUUUGUGGAAAAAUCACAUGUUUGGAAGGCCAAAACCUAUCAGCUAUUGUCUAGAAGCUCCAUCGAAAGAAAUCUCAAUGAUAUAACAUUCUUCCAGAAUAAAAUGUAAAUCUUCUGAUAUUACAUUUCCUCGAAUCCAUUGAGGAAAUCCAAUGAUCCCAAACACUUGCUAGGGCCCGUUUAUGGGAGCUAAAAUUUGACAGGUGUCCCACGGCUCUGGUUUAGCCCCAAAACAUAGUCAAUGCAAGAAUGUGAACACAGGUGUAGUCUUAGUUUCUGAAGUAUUUUCCCAGAAAUUGCAUUAUUAAACUACUUUUUCUUUAUAUGCAGUUAAAAUCACGUGAACUGAUGGCUUUAACAGAAGCAUAUACCAUCGAUUAACAACUUCCGAUAUCUGUCAGAGGUCUGUCUUUAAAGGUUUACAAGUUUAUAAAGGUUUAUAAGUUACCAUUAAUAAUUACUUCCACCAACGGGAAAUGGAUUUUUACUUCCAGAACCAGACUGUUGCGCUCUAUUUAUAAUGCAACGCAAACACUGCAUUCUCAGUCUUGCCACAGGGGGCACUAUAGCGGAAAUUAGCUUUGUCUUCUAUGGACAGUUUUCUCUUUCAGGUCAACAACUGUCAUGGCGGUGCAACAGUUUGAAGAUAAUCUAGCUGAACAAGUUUUUAUGUUUUAAGCAGAUACCUGAAUAGCAACACAUCUGUUUUAAUGGCGCACACACAUUUGAAGGAAACUCUGUCGCCAACUUGAGUACUGAGGUGUGUUACUGCUACAGUAACGCAAAAGCACAUGUCAAGUUUGUACGACGAGAUCAAUGCGUUGGCCAAGUGUUUGCAUU